UUAGAGUCCCUGCUUGGCCUGGCCCUGCCACCUCCAGCUUAGACAGAAGCUGACGAGGAGCUGUCCUGCUCAGGCCUGAGGUCAGGGCACAGACAGCAUAGAACCUGGGCUUCUGAGUCCCAGCCCAGACACGACCACCUAUGCUCCUGGCUGUCCUGGAACUUGUUCUAUAGACUAGGCUUGAACUCAGAAAUCCGCCUACCUCUGCCUCCCAAAUGCAGGGAUUAGAGGCGUGCACUACCACACCUGACUUAGAUGCUAGAGUUACAAAACUGACAAAGUGGCAAGGACACCCUCAAAGAAAUCACACUUGAGCUGUGACCUCAUGGCCUGAUGCACAGGCCAUGAAUAGUCAGAGAGGGAAAGAAAACAAGACUCAAUAAAAGCAUGUGCAAAGACCCUGUAGAAAGAGGAAACGUGGUGACAUACGGGCCAGAAAAAAACCAGUGUUCUAUAGAACAGAAAGAUAGAAUGGAAGGAGAUGCCCCACCUCUGGGGGGCAGAGUGAAUGCCUCUUACCAAACGCCUACGUGUAGCAGGCACUAUUAUAGGUGCUUGGUAAACUUAAUGCCACUGUACCUCAGGUGUGAGAUAGUUCCAUUAUUAGAUAGUUGAGGUAACUUGCCCAAAAUCAUAGUGACAGUGUGUGUCACAGUCAACGUGGGGGCCCAGAACCCAUUACAGACAUGUAGAGCUUCAGACAAUCUGGGUUCACCAAACCCAUGUGAAACAGUUGGAGGUUUACCUACAAAAAAACAAGGAGCCUCUGAUGGUUAGGACAGGAAUGAUGUAAUCAACACAUUUUGCAAAGAUACCCUGGCUUUAUGGACUAGCAAGGACUUGGGGUGGGUCCAGGGUAGCAUGACCCAUGCCAGUGAGAAGGUCAUAGUACUGGAGUGUUCCUGUGAUGGCAUGGGUGGGCUUGGAAUUUAAGAGGAUUUGGGAGGAAUUUAGGCAGCCAAAUCUGCAAGGCCCAGGAGUACAUGGGAGAUUGUGUAAUAGGAAGGGAAGUUGAGGGAGAUCAUGGAUUUAAGGGUCUAUUGGGUGUGGGCUUCCUUUAAGAAAUUCCAGAGGUGGGACUGUAGAGGUAGGUGGCUCAGAGGUUAAGAGCACUGGCUGCUUUUCCAGAGGUCCUGAGUUCAAUUCCCAGCAACCACAUGGUGGCUCACAACCAUCUAUAAUGUGAUCAUGUGACUUCUUAUGGUGUGCAGGCAUACAUGCAGGCAGAACACUGUAUACAUAAUAAAUAAAUAAAUCUUUUUAAAAAAGACAGAAAAACCCCAAAGGUGAUGGCAAUGACCUGGGGGAAAGGUUUAUGCAUCCUUUGCCACAGACCUGAUGGAAUGAACCUAGGAGAAGACGGGAAGCAAGACCAGAACUCCAACUCUGAUAGACCAGCAGGGAGGACCAAUCGGCAGAAGGGGCCACAAUGGAGUGACCAGAUAGAGGCUGUAAUCUUCUCCAGCCAGAGGUUUGAAGAAACACUGAAGGUCGUGAAAUGAUUAUCGGAGUGUAGAAGCCAUCCUUGGAAAUCAAAGGAUUGCAGAGGCUGAUGUUUGAUGACUGGAGUGCAGGACUUCACAGGAAGCCGGCUUGCCCUGGUCCUACUCCCUUAGCGCCUAGAGCACACUGUCCUGUGAACAUAAUUGCUCUUAGCAUCUUCAUCGAGCAGCUGUGGCUGCUUGCUAGCAACCCUCAAGAUUGAGUCUGGUGACAUCCUUUCCCAGAAAGGGGAUGGGGUGAGGUCAUUAGACCCUCACCUGAGAUUCCAGCUGCUCCUUCCUAGACCUCCCCUCUAGAUGUAAGUGAUUCAGAUGAGCUGCAGGUAGUUGUGUUGUCUGUGGAGGAGCUGGGGUACAGAGACUGGAAGGUUAUCUGAAGGGGCGCUCUGCCCGUGCAGGUGUGGGGAAGUCAUCGUCUGUGCUGGGGUGGGACCUUUGAUGGUGUAGCUGCUUUGGGAUUGAUCACUCUUGCUUUGUAAGGAAGCCUAAUAAACUUGGUUCACCGGACUGGA
Long non-coding RNA from Mesocricetus auratus (golden hamster), 2014 nucleotides. RefSeq lists it as uncharacterized. The transcript has 2 exons. NCBI's taxonomy places the organism in Eukaryota, Metazoa, Chordata, Mammalia, Rodentia, Cricetidae. The record is from RefSeq and is a predicted model, not a curated record.